This 271-nucleotide ribosomal RNA is filed under the name uncultured bacterium. RNAcentral's name for it is "partial 16S ribosomal RNA". It matches the Rfam family "Bacterial small subunit ribosomal RNA", at positions 29 to 291 of the family's 1533-position model. The record is from RNAcentral.
AACGAACGCUGGCGGCGCGCCUAAUACAUGCAAGUCGAGCGAGAAGACGUAGCAAUACGUUUGUAAAGCGGCGAACGGGUGAGGAAUACAUGGGUAACCUACCCUCGAGUGGGGAAUAACUAGCCGAAAGGUUAGCUAAUACCGCGUACGCUCCUUGGACUUCGGUUCAGGGAGGAAAGCGAUACCGUGGGUAUCGCGCUCUUGGAUGGGCUCAUGUCCUAUCAGCUUGUUGGNGAGGUACGGCUCACCAAGGCUUCGACGGGUAGCUGGU